AUUGAACGCUGGCGGCAUGGCUAAAACAUGCAAGUCGAACGAUCCCUUCGGGGAGAGUGGCGAAAGGGCGAGGAAUAGAAUCGAAUGUACCCCAAGGUGGGGGAUAGCCUCUGGAAACGGAGGGUAAUACCCCAUGUGCUCUACGGAGGAAAGGUUUACCGCCUUGGGAGCAGCGAUUCUCCUAUCAGGUAGUUGGUGAGGUAACGGCUCACCAAGCCGAAGACGGGUAGCGGGUGUGAGAGCAUGACCCGCCGCAUCGGGACUGAGACACUGCCCGGACUCCUACGGGAGGCUGCAGUAACGAAUCUUCCGCAAUGGGCGAAAGCCUGACGGAGCAAUGCCGCGUGUGGGAUGAAGCAUCUUCGAUGUGUAAACCACUGUCAGGGUCUAGGAAUACUGACCAGACCCAAAGGAAGGGCCGGUCGUAAUUCCGUG
This 435-nucleotide ribosomal RNA is filed under the name uncultured bacterium. RNAcentral's name for it is "bacterial SSU rRNA". It matches the Rfam family "Bacterial small subunit ribosomal RNA", at positions 30 to 507 of the family's 1533-position model. The record is from RNAcentral.